RNAcentral lists this non-coding RNA (103 nucleotides) under Neobacillus jeddahensis. Its description in RNAcentral is "SAM riboswitch (S box leader)". It matches the Rfam family "SAM riboswitch aptamer (S box leader)". Rfam says of the family: The SAM riboswitch is found upstream of a number of genes which code for proteins involved in methionine or cysteine biosynthesis in Gram-positive bacteria. The SAM riboswitch acts at the level of transcription termination control. The record is from RNAcentral. Lineage: Bacteria; Bacillati; Bacillota; Bacilli; Caryophanales; Bacillaceae.
UCUUAUCCAGAGAGGUGGAGGGACUGGCCCUAUGAUACCUCAGCAACAGCCACAAUUUUUUUUGGACUGUGCUAAUUCCAGAAGCGGAAAGCUUGAAGAUAAG